This 927-nucleotide ribosomal RNA is filed under the name Cladosporium herbarum. RNAcentral describes it as "LSU rRNA". It matches the Rfam family "Eukaryotic large subunit ribosomal RNA", at positions 23 to 976 of the family's 3401-position model. The record is from RNAcentral. Lineage: Eukaryota; Fungi; Ascomycota; Dothideomycetes; Cladosporiales; Cladosporiaceae.
ACCCGCUGAACUUAAGCAUAUCAAUAGGCGGAGGAAAAGAAACCAACAGGGAUUGCUCUAGUAACGGCGAGUGAAGCAGCAAUAGCUCAAAUUUGAAAUCUGGCGUCUUCGACGUCCGAGUUGUAAUUUGUAGAGGAUGCUUCUGAGUGGCCACCGACCUAAGUUCCUUGGAACAGGACGUCAUAGAGGGUGAGAAUCCCGUAUGCGGUCGGAAAGGCGCUCUAUACGUAGCUCCUUCGACGAGUCGAGUUGUUUGGGAAUGCAGCUCUAAAUGGGAGGUAAAUUUCUUCUAAAGCUAAAUAUUGGCCAGAGACCGAUAGCGCACAAGUAGAGUGAUCGAAAGAUGAAAAGCACUUUGGAAAGAGAGUUAAAAAGCACGUGAAAUUGUUAAAAGGGAAGGGAUUGCAACCAGACUUGCUCGCGGUGUUCCGCCGGUCUUCUGACCGGUCUACUCGCCGCGUUGCAGGCCAGCAUCGUCUGGUGCCGCUGGAUAAGACUUGAGGAAUGUAGCUCCCUCGGGAGUGUUAUAGCCUCUUGUGAUGCAGCGAGCGCCGGGCGAGGUCCGCGCUUCGGCUAGGAUGCUGGCGUAAUGGUCGUAAUCCGCCCGUCUUGAAACACGGACCAAGGAGUCUAACAUCUAUGCGAGUGUUCGGGUGUCAAACCCCUACGCGUAAUGAAAGUGAACGGAGGUGAGAACCGCAAGGUGCAUCAUCGACCGAUCCUGAUGUCUUCGGAUGGAUUUGAGUAAGAGCAUAGCUGUUGGGACCCGAAAGAUGGUGAACUAUGCCUGAAUAGGGUGAAGCCAGAGGAAACUCUGGUGGAGGCUCGCAGCGGUUCUGACGUGCAAAUCGAUCGUCAAAUUUGGGUAUAGGGGCGAAAGACUAAUCGAACCAUCUAGUAGCUGGUUCCUGCCGAAGUUUCCCUCAG